Molecule: small RNA, 7227 nt
Filed under: Rattus norvegicus (Norway rat)
Lineage: Eukaryota; Metazoa; Chordata; Mammalia; Rodentia; Muridae
Description: uncharacterized LOC108348502
Source: RNAcentral
GGGCAAUUCCAAUUUUCAUUGUUAGGAUAUCAGCAGUCCAGUCCAAAACACCAAACAUGAAUCAGUAGCAGGGGCUCGACUCAGGACAAACCACGAGGCUCCACUAAAUGACCAUGAGUCUUCGGAAGUGGCAGAAGAGGAGCUGAAAUACCACAGGAAGUCCUCUGGUCUGUUUCUCUCUACGAAUCCACAACAAGCAAAAGAUCAGUGAAGACCAGCGGAGCAUGGCAAGGUAAACCACUGAAUUAGUGUGCACUCGCCCCCAGUGGGUUAUAUCCACACUCUUUCCAAGCAUCAUGUGUCCUCUCAAGCAUCUGCUCCAGCAAAACCGAUAACCUCUCACAAGAGAGCUUCCAGAAAAGCAUCACGUGACACGACUGAGUCCCCAAAGAAACCAGAAAGUCCCACUUCCGAUGGCCCUUCUGGCCCCAGGGCUGGUCCACGUUGCACGGGAGGUCUCACCUAUACCUCAGUACCCCGAGAGCCCUGCUGGCUCUGCGGGCACACUGACACACCCCCUUGUCACCCGCCUACACUGUAAGGACAAAAACACUUGAAUCCUGGAGCUGCUACUUGGGACUCACAGAUGAGCAGUGCUUGGGUCUUGAGAUCUGACUCCUCAAGAGGGAACAGGGUGUCACAGCCAGUGAGCUGAGUGGGCAAGAGCCACUGGUCCAGAGGGGCCUGGCUACACCCUCGGUCUCCUAAACACAGGGCUCAGAGUUCAACGUUCAAUGGUGACCACAUUGUACGGAACGGGAGAGCUAGCUGAGUCAAGCCAGGCCACACUGCAGAGGAGAAGGCCUUAUGUCACCUCUUUCCUCAAAAAAAAGCAUUACCUGAGGUGACCUGUGACAUUCUGGGUUCAUCUGUGACUUAAGAGUUUUUUUUUAAAAGCCAAGUUUCUUUCCCUGAGUCUCUUUCAAGAGAGUCAUCCAAGCGUCGUUUAUAACUCAAAUGAUUCUGGUGUCAAUUGUGUGUCUUUAAUGAGCCCAGAAAUUUUCAUAAUUAUCCUUUUUUUUCCAAAGACAUAAUUAUAGGUUGGAGUACAUGCUACAGACAAGACAUUUAAAUAGAGCUUUUUACACACUUAAGCAUUCUGCCUCUCCCUUCAAAAAAACAUUUUGAAGAGGGUUCCCAAUUAUCCUUCCCCUGCCUUUCUUCCUCUGAGUAAACACGGGGAGGUAAGAUGGUCAUUGUCCCUUGGCAGUGAGUGUCCUAUGCUGGCUAGAGUACCCAGCCCAAAACUGUCUCCCCUGUGCCUCUACUGAGCACAGAGACUGGCAGGUGGAGGUGGCAGGGGUGACUUAGAGUUCUGUCCUGUAUGGGAAGCCCAGGUUAACCAGAAGCAGUCUUGGUGUCUCUGAUGGGGACAAGGCAAUGAAUGUGUUGAGCUCUGAUUGGUGCUGCCAUCAGAAUCUGUACCCAGUGAUAACCCAGGACCUCAUUAGUUCCAUGGUUUGAGUUUGAACUGGCAGGUUUAAGGGUCUGAGACAGGGGGUUGGGGAUUUAGCUCAGUGGUAGAGCGCUUGCCUAGGAAGCGCAAGGCCCUGGGUUCGGUCCCCAACUCCGAAAAAAAAAAACCAAAAAAAAAAAAAAAAAGGGUCUGAGACAGGACAGAGAGACUGAAGACAUGGGUCUGACUGAGACAAGGGGUUUGGGCUGUAAAGCACAUAAACUGCUCUGACACAUCCUGCUUCUCCAAGCUCUCUCUUGCUGACUGACUAAAACUGUCCCCCACCCCAUUUCUAGAGCUGCUGGGAAUGUGUUUACUUCUAAGCCCAAUAACCAGUGUUCUGGGGAGAAGUUUGAGGAAAGAGCAAAGUCACAUGGGCCAGCUUCAGAGGAGAGGCUCCAGGGACCUCUGUCCUCCAGCUGGAGUCCAACAGGAAACACAGAUGCCUCCGGCACAAGUAGUUGGAAGAAGGUGCCGGCCCAGCUGCCCAAGGUGUGGGGCCAGCCAGAGAGAGGUCCUGUGGGUGGAGAGUGUCCACUCAUGUCCAGCAGAGGCUCCGGGGAAAGGGCAAGGCAGUUCAGGCAAGAAUUUGACAUACCAGCUGCAGGGAGACUGUCCCCAUUACAGACCAGCACCCUGCAAAAACCUUCUGGAAAGCUCAGGAAAGGAAAGGGAUCCUCUGGCUUGCGAGUUUUACCAAAGACCAUUUCACAGUAGCAUACUGAUUGACAACACAUUUUUUGUUGGCUAAAAGCCUUACCCUCGUGUACAUCUUGAGUUCCUGGGAGAGAGAGGGUCUGACAAUAAGCAAAGAAAAGAUAUGAGACGAUACCAGAUUAAGUAGGAGAGAGCGUGAUUCUGUGGGGGAAGGCUUCCGUGUGGAGGAAUUUUUGAGCUGACCCACCCAUGACAUCAGCAUCUCCCCCAACAAGACCCUAAGGGAGAGGGACAGGCUGGUUUACCCACCCAAGGCUAGAGCAAAGAAGGGCUCUGCAGAGCAGGAAGAUGCCAACCAUGACGAUGGCGGUGAAAACAGGCAGGUCUGCGGCUGUCAGCUCAUAGCCCCGGACCCCAUCUUGUGAGAACUUGGAAAUUCACAACAGCGAGGGCCCAGGAGACGCCUGGCGAGCUCGGUUCUGAAUCAUUCUAUUGUCUGAGCGGAAGUCCAGCCCGGCAAAGUAAUGGAAGGACACUCCUCGUCUCAAUUUUGUUCAUAGAUGUCUCCAGCAACCAUUUCACAUCUCUAACCACACAGGCGUCCGAGCUGGUGGGCGGGCCUUAUCCUCACCGAACGUAUGAGAAAGGCCACUCCGGUAGUUUCUGUCUCUGCAGCCUCCCCCGCCCUGCCUGUGUGGGUGGACACAUCUGUGGACGCAGCACUUCAAUAAAAAGCCUUCGCACGGCACACGAGGCCGCCCAGGAGACGCGGCGCGUUUCAUCCAACUGCCAAGAAUCUUCUUUAAAGUCUCCCCUGCCUUGUUGAGGGGCCAGCCACUCGCUCGGGCCGCUGUUGUUAUGGCUGUCUCGCUUCCUGAGACACACUGUCCGGGAACAGACACCCCUGGCAAGCUGCAAAGGUGAGAUGGUGGCCCGAGGUUCACCGGCCCUACUCUCCAAACAGCUUUCAAGUGACUCUCUGUGACCGCUCCGUGUGGAGGUGUUUUUCUAGAACGUUCUGUCCAAAUGACCCUGGAAACUAUCAGGACAAUGGGACCAAGAGGCUUUGGGAAGCUAGGGAGGCCCCAUCACUCCACAUGCCCGGAAUUCCCUCCCCCUGCCAUGAGACACAGGGACAGCAGCGGUUUCCUUCAGGACGUCCCUCGGUAGCUCUUUCUUCCUUUGCUCUCAGGAAGACAACUGUGCUUAGCUUCAGGAUCCAGGCCCUUUACUUGAAAGCAGCUACUGUGAAGACAGUGUUAAUGGGGCUUUUAGAUUAUGUCCUGGCUCAAAGCCUCCCUUUAAUAACCGGCUCCGCUCUUGGCCAGUCUUGGCUGAAUUGAGAAACAUCAGCUGUGCGACGAGAAAUGGAAAGCUCGUUACUUGAUACUCGGUGCAGCCUGCGCCAAAACCUUCACUCAUUCAUUUUAUCGCCGCAGCGUCUUCCCAUACCGAAACCUGUGUCACAGCAGAAGCUGCAAACUUCGAGGGCUGGGGGGUAAGCCUGUAUUUCGAUAAGAAUGCCUGCCCCUAACUCCUGAGUGAGUCACAAAAUGACUUGUAAUUCUUAGCCCCUUCCAAAGGAUUCCAGCCUCUCUUUUCGGGGCUCCCAGCUCCAACCCCUCCCUCUAAAGCAAGCACACAGAGUGAGGUGUAGACAUCUGGUUCCUGUUUUUAGAGUCAAAAUUGAUCUGCUGGGUGACUCUUGGCAAGUCACUUAACCUCUCUGAGCUUAAGCUUCCCUAAUCCUGGCUCACCAGACACCUCUUAGGAGGAGGGGCUGGUGGCCAGCUAAUGAGCAGGUGUUUGGGGGAGGGAUGGCCGAAUCCCAGGGGGAGAGGGGACCAAAACGGAGGGAAGCUGGAGGGGUCUUAAGGCAUAAGCCAGCAGUAGCUAAGCCUGCAGAUUGAAGUGGAGAUGGCCAUGUGUCCAGCCCGCCUCACUUUCCGCUGAUGCAGUCCUGAGCGUUUGGGGCCUUGGCAGUGCACUGGCCUCCAGGUGGCCUUCCUCAUGUUGGCUUCACCCUAUGAGGAGUUUCUCAGACCCGUGAGAGCCUCAUCCCUCUGAGGAUCCCCGUCCUUAUACAUGGCCUUUCCUGUAUUAGCCCCGGAGUUUUCCACCACCCCCUCGUUUUGACGGAAACUUGCUGGUGCGAACACACAACUCUUGAGAUGCCUCUCCAUCCCAGACGAGCCCAGACAGGCAUCCAAGCAGCAAAUGAGUGAGUCUUUCCCAGUUCCCAGCAUUUUUGACUCCUCUCCUCUCUGUUACCAUGCUCCAGGAGGACUUGAACUCCCAAGAACAGAAUCUUUGCUAUUUGACAGAAGCCAGGCCAGAGGGGAUUGGGAUGGGUUGAGGGGGCUGGAAAAAUGAAUAAAACCUUUAAUGACCUUGCUGACUGCUCUUGUUCCACUGUAGGACACAAUCCCAGACAGAGCUGGCAGCCUUCAGAGAACAUCUCUCCUUUCUUAUCAGCAGAGAAAUGAAGAGUCUUCAUGGUGGAGGACAUGGAGCUCACUUGCAUGGACAUUCAGUGUCCAGCCAGGCUGUGAAUAAGAAAGGGUUCCUCCCUAUCUGGGAAACUCGCAGGGAUGUUUCCAGAAUCUAAGAUGAUGGAAAAGCCUUUGCAAGAAACCCACAUUCCUAUAACAGAGGCAUCGAAGGCACGGGUAGAGGGUCCUCUGGCUAUGAGUCCUGAGAGACAGCAAGCCUCACCCUCUCCCGAGCUAGUUUCUGGGAAGAUACUGAAAAUCCGACCUUGCCUUGCCGCCGCCGACCACCCAGCCCGUCAGCACAUACUUGGCACGUAUGUGUUCUUCCCGAGCUUCUUCCAAACCAGAGUUGCUGCCCUCACAACCUGCCAAGCCCUUGCUUCCAGAAAUUUCUUCCUUACCCCUUUUGUGGCUAUGAAACUGAAAUGUUCCAAGUGGGGAAGGAUCUCAAAACUGCUCAGUCAUCAAGCAUACCAGCUGGCCAAAGGCGAGGCUGGGUGUGGAAGUACUUCCCAGAUCCUCAGACCUGGGGAGAAGGGGACAGUGAACGCCAAUUCCAGUCCUGACCACACGCAAAAAGCCUUUACAAAGCUUAAAUCUUCAGUUACUAGAUUUUGUCUUGUUCACAGACCUUUUGGCCCCGCCCUCUUUGCACUCCAGUCCUUGGCCAGAGCUGAACCCCCACACAGAGCUUUCUCCAUUCUUACUCAGUCAAUAGUCAUGUGUGUUAUCAAGAGGCCUGUCUAGGCCCAUGGAGACCUGACAUCGGUGCUGGGACUUCAAACUGUGUUGGCAAUAUAGGGAUUCCUUGGGCCAACCUUCGAGGACUUUCUCAAAACGAUAUCAGCUCUUGGGAGCAGUCAUAACCAUCCAGUGACCAGACUCUCUAGGCCUUCUUCCAGUCAGCCAUUGAAGCUUACACUCAACUCCCGACCUGAAACUGCAUUGAUCGCCUGGGAAGGAGUGUGAGGUGAGAAUUGGAGGGACAAAGUCACCUUUGUGGGUGUGUAGGGGAUGGAGUCAGGGUGUUGGGAUGACUCAUUUGUAUGAGGAAGAAUUCUAGGUGUUGCUAGAUGUGACCUUACCAGGGAUAGGAAAUUUAACCAGGUUACUGGCUUCCUGAUUUCCCCUGCUGGGGCAAAGGUGGAUGUGUAGGAUUAUGUGCACCAGGAUAUGCAGGCCCCAGGCAGGGGAGGGAGUGGCCCCACUCUUAUCUCUCCCAAGAUGAGAUUUCUGGAGUUGGACAUGACUCUACCGCACUCACACGGCGACUGACUCCUUCCAGUUCCACAGUUCCCUGGGCCCACAAGCCGUAAAGCGUGUAACUAGUUAUCACAACUAACCAUAUUAGCAACGUUGACAUGUUGCACCUCACUGUGAGAUUGUGGGUAGAAUUACAUGUUUCAUAUGAAAGACUGUGUCAGGGCAAACUUUGUUUAAACACCCUCCAUGCCCUCCAUCGUCCCAUGCUUCAGACUGAGUAACUUGUUUAUCUUAGAAAGAGACAGUCACCAGACCAUUUCGAGGACCACAAAAUAUUUUUUAAUUGUGGUAAAUUUUAAUUGGGACCUACAUUUUUGUCUCUCCAUAGUUGAUAGGUGAAAACUGAAGGUUACUGGAGUAUUUGUUCAUACACAGAUAUGUACACAAACAUAGUCAUCAUACAUGUACAUACUAUAGAAACACACAUGUGAUUCCUCUGUCAUAUCCUGGACCAAGGUGAAAAGAACCAAGAAAUGGCCUUGACAAUGAGUAAGGCCAGAAAUGAUGGAUGAAGAGAAUCAGACCUCUGUAGCUGAGAGCUGAAAUGAUGGAUGAAAAGAAUCAGACCUCUGUAGCUGAGAGCUGAAAUGAUGGAUGAAAAGAAUCAGACCUCUGUAGCUGAGAGCUGAAAUGAUGGAUGAACAGAAUCAGACCUCUGUAGCUGAGAGCUGAUUAUCAUGUGCCUGAAGCAGCUCUCUAAGGCCAGAAAGAACCUGCUGCCAGUGAGGAAUGCACAUCUGUGAUGGAUCACCCAGAGCUAACAGGAGCUCAUCCUGCCACGAUCCAGAGUCAAGAAGCCUUUUGUAGGCUAUCGGGCAACAUACUCAAGGUGGGCAUCAGCCUUCCACUAGAGGCUGUUCUGGCCUCAAGUAACCAGUCUUUUUUUUUUUUUUCCUUUUCUUUUUUUCAGAGCUGGGGACCGAACCCAGGGCCUUGCACUUGCUAGGCAAGCGCUCUACCACUGAGCCAAAUCUCCAACCCCUCAAGUAACCAGUCUUAAAAAGAAGUCACUAAAGGAUUGAAAUGGCCCUAAGUAAGAUAUGUGGGUUCCAGAAUAAAGCUCAAGGGUUGAGGGGUACAGGCCCCACCCUACCCCACCAUCUGGCAUCCUAUAACUGUCUGCACACCAUCAAGGCCGAAAAGUCAGUCAACACCAACAGACCUAGACAGGAGGCAGAACUAGCAGACAAAGAAACAAAGGCUCAUCUGACACUUUUACCUCAGUUCUGGGAGAUGCAGGGAGGUGCAGGCUGUUAAGAGGAGACGUGCAAGAUGUCCACAUGACCUACACUGAACUUCUACAUAUAAAAAUACAAAGUCUUGGACUGGAGAGAUGGUUCAGUGGUUAAGAGCGCUGAC